UACAACAUAGACUCUCAAGAAAUUAAAUUACAACUAAAAUUUAAGGUCUUCCAAGGAAAUUGAGGGAGACUAUGGGGGUAAUUAGGUAAUUCUAAAAUAUUUCGGGUGGGUGUAUGAGUUUCGGGUGUGGGUUUGACUGAUACCAAACCCACACCCAUAUUAUCGGGUGUCACCCGAACCCAAACCCAAACCCAAUCAAAUCGGCUUUCGCCCGUUGACUUGAGUUUAGGUUCGGGUGGGUCUCUC
This 246-nucleotide long non-coding RNA is filed under the name Trifolium pratense (red clover). Its description in RNAcentral is "long non-coding RNA (TPRA_LNC005297)". The record is from RNAcentral. Lineage: Eukaryota; Viridiplantae; Streptophyta; Magnoliopsida; Fabales; Fabaceae.